Molecule: ribosomal RNA, 351 nt
Filed under: Klebsiella pneumoniae
Lineage: Bacteria; Pseudomonadati; Pseudomonadota; Gammaproteobacteria; Enterobacterales; Enterobacteriaceae
Also listed under: 1 other name
Description: bacterial SSU rRNA
Rfam family: Bacterial small subunit ribosomal RNA
Source: RNAcentral
ACUGGCAGGCUAGAGUCUUGUAGAGGGGGGUAGAAUUCCAGGUGUAGCGGUGAAAUGCGUAGAGAUCUGGAGGAAUACCGGUGGCGAAGGCGGCCCCCUGGACAAAGACUGACGCUCAGGUGCGAAAGCGUGGGGAGCAAACAGGAUUAGAUACCCUGGUAGUCCACGCCGUAAACGAUGUCGAUUUGGAGGUUGUGCCCUUGAGGCGUGGCUUCCGGAGCUAACGCGUUAAAUCGACCGCCUGGGGAGUACGGCCGCAAGGUUAAAACUCAAAUGAAUUGACGGGGGCCCGCACAAGCGGUGGAGCAUGUGGUUUAAUUCGAUGCAACGCGAAGAACCUUACCUGGUCUU